GAUGAACGCUGGCGGCGUGGAUAAGGCAUGCAAGUCGAACGAACAUUUUUAUUUUAGCAAUAAGACGAAAUGUUAGUGGCAAACGGGUUAGUAACGCGUAGGCAACUUACCUCCGUGUCUGGCAUAAUUUCGCGAAAGCGGAACUAAUUCCAGAUGAUAAUGAGGGGGACGAAAGUCAUUCUCAUUUAAAGGUUUCGGCCGCACGGAGAAAGGCCUGCGUCCUAUCAGCUAGUUGGUGAGGUAAUGGCUCACCAAGGCGAUGACGGGUAGGGGGACUGAGAGGUUGGCCCCCAACAUCGGAACUGAGACACUGUCCGGACUCCUACGGGAGGCAG
This 335-nucleotide ribosomal RNA is filed under the name uncultured Parcubacteria group bacterium. RNAcentral's name for it is "bacterial SSU rRNA". It matches the Rfam family "Bacterial small subunit ribosomal RNA", at positions 28 to 351 of the family's 1533-position model. The record is from RNAcentral.